RNAcentral lists this long non-coding RNA (288 nucleotides) under Elaeis guineensis (African oil palm). RNAcentral's name for it is "long non-coding RNA (EGUI_LNC045232)". The record is from RNAcentral. Lineage: Eukaryota; Viridiplantae; Streptophyta; Magnoliopsida; Arecales; Arecaceae.
GGUAUGGGUGCGUCUGGCCUAAUCAUUUGAAAUGUUCAAAUGAUUCAAUAAUGAAAGAUUGAAACAAACUGGAUAAGGUGUUAGAACUCUUCGAUCAGAUCGAAGAGGCGAAUACUUAUCCAGUGAAUUUGUGACAUAUCUAGGAGAGAAUUGGAUUCUCUCUCACUGGAUUUUUUUUUGGAACAUAGUGUAUCUGAAAGGAGAAGUUGAACUUUGUUAGACAUGGUUCAAUCCAUGAUAGGGUUCACUUCUCUGCCAUUUCAGGAUUGUGCUCUUUUGUGAUUACUU